UCUUUUGAAGCCCUUGGAAGGCAUCUGCCACGUGUCACUUUUCUAGCGCACCACAUACAUACAUUAUGUAGUCCAUAUUUUGGAUUUAUAUACUAUUAUAAGGGGUUGGAUCUACUUGAUCUACUUGAUUUUCUCCCUAUAUAUAUAGGAAAAGGUUCAAUGGAGAAAUGCAAAUGUUGUUAGAAAGGAGAAACAAUCUCAUCCACUCAAUUAACAUAAUCUAACGGUAUAUGAUCAAUUUU
RNAcentral lists this long non-coding RNA (242 nucleotides) under Salvia miltiorrhiza (redroot sage). RNAcentral describes it as "long non-coding RNA (SMIL_LNC000023)". The record is from RNAcentral. Lineage: Eukaryota; Viridiplantae; Streptophyta; Magnoliopsida; Lamiales; Lamiaceae.